RNAcentral lists this ribosomal RNA (406 nucleotides) under Thalamita prymna. RNAcentral describes it as "partial 16S large subunit ribosomal RNA". It matches the Rfam family "Bacterial large subunit ribosomal RNA", at positions 1918 to 2597 of the family's 2925-position model. The record is from RNAcentral. Lineage: Eukaryota; Metazoa; Arthropoda; Malacostraca; Decapoda; Portunidae.
AGAUAUUAAAUAGCCGCGGUAUCUUGACCGUGCAAAGGUAGCAUAAUCAUUAGUUUUUUAAUUGAAAACUUGUAUGAAUGGUUGGACAAAGAAGGAACUGUCUCUUUUAUUAAAAUUGAAUUUAACUUUUAAGUGAAAAGGCUUAAAUUUUUCAAAGGGACGAUAAGACCCUAUAAAGCAUUUGGUUGGGGCGACAAUAGUAUAAUUAAUAACUGCUUUAAAAUAAUACAAAUAUAUUUGAAGUUGAUCCUUUAUAAAGAUCUAAGAUCAAGUUACUUUAGGGAUAACAGCGUUAUUUUUCCUGAGAGUCCUUAUCAAAGGAAAAGUUUGCGACCUCGAUGUUGAAUUAAAAUGUCUUUAUAGUGCAGCAGCUAUAAAAGAAGGUCUGUUCGACCUUUAAUAUUUU